AUCGAUCUCUAACAACAUGUCUGGACGGGAAGGUGGUAAAAAGAAGCCUUUAAAAGCGCCAAAGAAAGGCAAGAAAGAUUUAGAUGAUGAUGACCUCGCUCACAAGCAAAAACUGAAGGAAGAACAGAAGAAGCUACAGGAAGCAAAGUCAAAGGCUUCUCAGAAAGGACCCAUGGGUG
Long non-coding RNA from Saccoglossus kowalevskii, 179 nucleotides. The record is from RefSeq and is a predicted model, not a curated record. NCBI's taxonomy places the organism in Eukaryota, Metazoa, Hemichordata, Enteropneusta, Harrimaniidae.